UUCUGUAGAUAUAGAUCUGGCCAUUUGAUGUGAAUUCUCUAUACCAUAUGGAAGAUCUGAUGUAGGGUUUAAGUACUUUCCCCCGGCUGGAAGCAGGUAGAGUACUUUUCCCUCCUCAGUACUAUCCAUUCUGAAGGAAGAAGAUUGGGAGAUUGCCCACUCUACCUCUUCUGAUGAGCAUUGACGUCUAGUUCCCUGGAGGGGGAUUUUCCAUAUUAAAGGUCCUUCUAUAAAUUCUUGUCUAGCUGCCCUUUUUGCCUCUAGGUCAGCUCAGUGACUGCCCUCUGCUUCCUUCUCCUCUCAUUUUUGGAGACCUUGGACAGCUUGUAAUGUCUAAAAUUUCCUUGUAACAUUUAAUGGGAGUUCCUGCUGAGGUUAGAAACUCUCUUUCCUUCCUUAAUGCAGCAUGACCAUGCAGAACCAGGUUUUGGGGUACAUGUGAAGAACAUGCAAGACAGUUGCAUAGGUACACACGUGGCAGUGUGAUUUGCUGCCUUCCUCCCCUUCACCUAUAUCUGGCAUUUCUCCCCAUGCUAUCUCUCCCCAACUCCCUACCCCUCACUGUCCCUCCCCUAUUCCCCACAACAGACCCCAGUGUGUAGUGCUCCUCUCCCUGUGUCCAUGUGUUC
This 629-nucleotide long non-coding RNA is filed under the name Callithrix jacchus (white-tufted-ear marmoset). RNAcentral's name for it is "lncRNA (ENSCJAG00000080969.1)". Lineage: Eukaryota; Metazoa; Chordata; Mammalia; Primates; Cebidae. The record is from RNAcentral.